This is a long non-coding RNA of Phyllostomus discolor (pale spear-nosed bat), 1021 nucleotides long. RefSeq lists it as uncharacterized. The transcript has 2 exons. The record is from RefSeq and is a predicted model, not a curated record. NCBI's taxonomy places the organism in Eukaryota, Metazoa, Chordata, Mammalia, Chiroptera, Phyllostomidae.
UUAUAUGUCUUCAUAAAAUCAACCACAGAAACAUACAAAGAAAUCUAAAGUUCAAAGUUCUUCAGAUCUAAGGGAUAAUCCUUAAUCUACUUUUAAUGUUUCAUGAUGCUAGCUGGACUGAUUCUCAUCCUCUAAUCACAUAGAUGUAAUGCUCAUGAUGACAAGUUGCUGGCAAUAGAGAUUACUACUAUGCACCUCUCCCCUCUUGCUGGAGAAACGUAGUCCAAUAAUUCCACAGGCCAAUGCCUACAAAGACUGCCUACUUAUACAUGACAGCCAGUUAUUCAUGUCAUUUUGAGAAAGUCUCUAAAGAUCGCUUCACAGUGCUUUCUAAGGUAGUAAAAAUCUCAAUAUAAAUUAAAAAUGAGGGGGUCCUUUAACAGGCACAAAUGAUCACUUUAUUGUAAAUAUGUAAUCAAUAAAAACGUAGAAUACUUAGGAGUCUAUGAACAUACUUAGGAGUCUAUGAACAGCUAGUAUGAAGUAUCUUUAGGCAAAAGAACUCAAAGUGAAAUAAUCACAACCCUUUAAAAUGUCAAUUCUACUUUGUAAAAUUUUCAUGAUUGUAUCUUGCCUACAUAGGAUCAGAAGAUUUCAGAGCAGGAGAUCUAGAGAUAACCUAAGGUCAAAUGGCCCAGAUAUAUUAAGUGACCUGCCCAUGAUCACACAGUUGAACUAACAAGAAGAAGAAACAGAAAUGGCCAAACCUUUUCUCUGAAGAUAUGGGCGUGUAGACUUCAAUACCGAAAGGAAUAUUGACAGAAGUUCUACUAAGUCUCCAGUCACAUGGCAAGCUGUGGCUUCAUGAUACAUCAUGUGCAGUGUGUUGAAAGACUACAAAUGAUUCAAAAGAAUGGAAAACUUCAUUUUCAUUUUGACUUUAUUGAGCCACAAAACUGUAGUGCUCAUCCUCUAGAUAGAUGUUUUCAGACUCAGACUAUGCAUAUGUAUAUGAACACAAAGCAAAUCUAUUUGCUUUUUAUCUAAGUCAAAUUUUCUCGUUCACCUCUUUUUUAAUAUA